Molecule: ribosomal RNA, 662 nt
Filed under: uncultured bacterium
Lineage: Bacteria
Description: bacterial SSU rRNA
Rfam family: Bacterial small subunit ribosomal RNA
Source: RNAcentral
AGUGGCGGACGGGUGAGUAACGCGUGAGAAUCUACCUUCAGGACGGGGACAACAGCUGGAAACGGCUGCUAAUACCCGAUAUGCCGAAAGGUGAAAAGUUUUUUCGCCUGGAGAGGAGCUCGCGUCCGAUUAGCUAGUUGGUGAGGUAAAAGCUUACCAAGGCGACGAUCGGUAGCUGGUCUGAGAGGAUGAGCAGCCACACUGGAACUGAGACACGGUCCAGACUCCUACCGGAGGCAGCAGUGGGGAAUUUUCCGCAAUGGGCGAAAGCCUGACGGAGCAACGCCGCGUGGGGGAAGAAGGUUUUUGGAUUGUAAACCCCUUUUCUCAAGGAAGAACAAAAUGACGGUACUUGAGGAAUCAGCCUCGGCUAACUCCGUGCCAGCAGCCGCGGUAAUACGGAGGAGGCAAGCGUUAUCCGGAAUUAUUGGGCGUAAAGCGUUCGUAGGCGGCUGUUCAAGUCUGCUGUCAAAGACCGAGGCUCAACCUCGGGUAGGCAGUGGAAACUGGAUAGCUAGAGGUCGGUAGGGGCAGAGGGAAUUCCCAGUGUAGCGGUGAAAUGCGUAGAUAUUGGGAAGAACACCGGUGGCGAAAGCGCUCUGCUGGGCCGAACCUGACGCUGAGGGACGAAAGCUAGGGGAGCGAAUGGGAUUAGAUACCCC